Molecule: ribosomal RNA, 273 nt
Filed under: uncultured bacterium
Lineage: Bacteria
Description: partial 16S ribosomal RNA
Rfam family: Bacterial small subunit ribosomal RNA
Source: RNAcentral
UACGUAGGGACCAAGCGUUGUUCGGAUUUACUGGGCGUAAAGGGCGCGUAGGCGGCGUGUUAAGUCAGUUGUGAAAUCUAUGAGCUUAACUCAUAACGGUCAACUGAUACUGAUGUGCUAGAGUGCAGAAGGGGCAAUCGGAAUUCUUGGUGUAGCGGUGAAAUGCGUAGAUAUCAAGAGGAACACCUGAGGUGAAGACGGGUUGCUGGGCUGACACUGACGCUGAGGCGCGAAAGCUAGGGUAGCAAACGGGAUUAGAAACCCCCGUAGUCC